GGAGAAGAGGAAUGUGGCUGGGUUGUACUGUGCAAGGCAUACAGUUGCUUGGUCAGAGUGCAGAGGCAGGGGAUUCUAGCCCACACAGAGCCAGGCAGCCCAUGAAGACAGCCAUGUGAAGAUAGAGACACACAGAAAGAACGUCAUGUCAUAAUGAAGAUGAAGCUUGUAGUUAUGCAGCUGAAAGCUAAGCAAUGCCAAGGAAGCUAGGAAGAAGCAAGAAAGGAUUUCUCUACAGAUUUCAGAGGACGCAGGACCCUGCCAACACCUUGAUCACAGACUUCUAGCUUCCAGAGCUGUGGAACAAUAUAUUUCUGUUGUUUUAAGCCACCCAAUUUGCGAUACUUUAUUAUGGCAGCUCCAGUAACUAACAUACAUACCAUAUUUCGAUCUCAUCUUAAUUUUGUAAAUAUGAGCACUUGACUUUUCCAACAAUUAUUAUAAUAGCAAUAACAAUCAACAACGAGCAGAAUAAUAGUUGAUUUGUUCCUAGUUUUUCCAAGGUUGUCAGUUUUCUUCACCCCAAAAGUGGAAUCUUCAUUUCAGUUUUAGAUACUCUAGAAAUGCACUAUUCAACUUGAUAGCCACUUGUCACAUAUGGCUAUGGAGCACUAGAAAUGUGGCUAGUUCAAAGUGAGAUGUGGUUUCAAUAUAAAAUACAUACUACAUUGUGAAGACUUAGGAAGAAAAAAAGAAUGUAAAAUAUCUCAUUAAUUUUUUUAUGUUGCCUAUAUUUUGAAAUAACAUGUUGAGUACAUUGAGUUGAAUAAAAAUUUUAUCAUCAACUAAUGUGGCUCCUAGAAAUUUUUAAAUUUCAUAUGUGGCUGACAUAUUUCUGUUGGACAGUGCAGCUCUUGACCCAAGAAGAGAAUGUUGCAUGGUGUAGUAGGAAAAAGCUCUAACCUGGAAAGGAGGAAACUUUAGUUUCAGGGCUGAUUAUUCUGACUCUACCAGAUAUUUGAAUUUGGGCCAAUCAUGUCACUUUUCUACACACAGCCCCAACAUCUGAAAAAUAAGGUUGUGCUAUUUAAUUUCUAAUGUAAUUUCACUUUCUAAACAUUUAUCUUAAUAUAAGUAAAGUGUUGUCUCAAGUCAUGCUGUUGCUCUUUUUCUGAAUCUGGUAAUGUAUAUAUUUUAUAUCAAUAUGUAUUAUAUCAUAUUUUAUAUAUAAUAUUUUACAUUACACAAAUUAUAGUGUGUGCAUGUGUAUGUGUAUGGUACACCAUUGUAUGUAGAAGCACGUAUAACCCAUAUGGGGCUAUAGGUGUUUCUACAUUCAGAAUUGCUUGGCAUUUUGAAAAGUAAUACAGGCAGAUAUUUUCUAUUACAUAACGCUCCCAG
RNAcentral lists this long non-coding RNA (1341 nucleotides) under Homo sapiens (human). Its description in RNAcentral is "HSALNT0076241". Lineage: Eukaryota; Metazoa; Chordata; Mammalia; Primates; Hominidae. The record is from RNAcentral.